This 490-nucleotide ribosomal RNA is filed under the name uncultured Sphingobacteriales bacterium. RNAcentral describes it as "bacterial SSU rRNA". It matches the Rfam family "Bacterial small subunit ribosomal RNA", at positions 891 to 1382 of the family's 1533-position model. The record is from RNAcentral. Lineage: Bacteria; Pseudomonadati; Bacteroidota; Sphingobacteriia; Sphingobacteriales.
GCUCAGAAACUUAAAGGAAGUUGACGGGGGCCCGCACAAGCGGUGGAGCAUGUGGUUUAAUUCGAUGAUACGCGAGGAACCUUACCUGGGCUCAAAUGUAUGUUGACGUAUUCUGAAAGGGAUACUUCUUCGGACAAUAUACAAGGUGCUGCAUGGUUGUCGUCAGCUCGUGCCGUGAGGUGUCGGGUUAAGUCCCAUAACGAGCGCAACCCCUAUCAUUAGUUGCCAUCAGGUCAAGCUGGGGACUCUAAUGAAACUGCCUACGCAAGUAGUGAGGAAGGUGGGGAUGACGUCAAAUCAUCAUGCCCCUUAUGAUCUGGGCUACACACGUGCUACAAUGGCCGGUACAACGGGCAGCGAAGGAGCGAUCCGGAGCGAAUCCUAAAAAGCCGGUCCCAGUUCGGAUUGCAGGCUGAAACUCGCCUACAUGAAGUUGGAGUUGCUAGUAAUCGCGAAUCAGAAUGUCGCGGUGAAUGCGUUCCCGGGUCUU